AAGAUCGGGGGACCACCCUCGAAGGCUAAGUACUCCUUACUGACCGAUAGCGAACCAGUACCGUGAGGGAAAGGUGAAAAGCACCCCGACGAGGGGAGUGAAACAGUACCUGAAACCGGACGCCUACAAUCAGUCGGAGCUUGACUGGACUCUAAUGACAAUCUGCUUCAUCAACACGAAAGUGAAUCAUGUUGGAGGCAAACGUGUCGGAUAUCGCAUUUGUGACAGACGGGACCAUGGCGGUCGUCGGACUUAUCGCGGGGCUCAUAGAUAUGAGCGUUAACCACUGCCCCCAUGAGGGGUGCCUGGCGAAGAACGAUGUGCCUGCCUAUAACUCGCUGGCCCUUGGCGAAACAUAUUUCCAGGAUAACGCCUCUGGCGAGGAAAUAUACUUCCGGCGCGACACGGGUUUGGCCUUUGGGCCGUUCCAGAAUGUCUGGGGCCUCUCGGCCACGACAGACGGCGAAUUCUGGAUCGGAGCAGGCCAUGCCUACACGAUGCACCUCUUUAACGAGCGCACCUUCAUCCAGUUUCAUGCGAUGACGGGGCUCUACGAGAAUGGGGGCGGCCACGAUCUCGGUGGUCCGAUCGAAUUCCGGUCGGGUAUCGAGCUCGGCUAUCAGGCCCGGAACGGCACGCGGAUCGGCCUCGGCGUCGAUCACCGUUCGAACUCCGGGAUCUACAGCCGCAACCCCGGCCUCGAAACAGUGCAUCUGCGGGUUUCCAUCCCGAUCAAAUGAGAUUGUUAUUAGUGUCCAGUCUUGUGACGGCGUACCUUUUGUAUAAUGGGUCAUCGACUUGGUCUAUCCAGCAAGCUUAAGCCGUUAGGUGUAGGCGCAGCGAAAGCGAGUCUUAAUAGGGCGAUGAGUUGGAUGGAUCAGACCCGAAACCGAGUGAUCUAGGCAUGGCCAGGUUGAAGGUAAGGUAACACUUACUGGAGGACCGAACCCACUUCUGUUGAAAAAGAACGGGAUGAGCUGUGCCUAGGGGUGAAAGGCCAAUCAAACUCGGAGAUAGCUGGUUCUCUGCGAAAUCUAUUUAGGUAGAGCGUCAUCCGAAUACCCUCGGGGGUAGAGCACUGGAUGGGUAAUGGGGCCCCACAGGCUUACUGAUCCUAACCAAACUCCGAAUACCGAGGAGUACUAGAUGGCAGACACACUGCGGGUGCUAACGCCCGUAGUGGAGAGGGAAACAACCCUGACCUCCGGCUAAGGCCCCCAAUUCGUGGCUAAGUGGGAAAGCAGGUGGGACGACCAAAACAACCAGGAGGUUGGCUUAGAAGCAGCCAUCCUUUAAAGAUAGCGUAACAGCUCACUGGUCUAAACAAGUUGUCCUGCGGCGAAGAUGUAACGGGGCUCAAGCCACGAGCCGAAGCCGAGGAGUGCGUAAGCACUGGUAGCAGAGCGUAGUGUGACAUAGUCUCAUUCCUCCUUAGCGGGUUCGCCCGCCUUGGAGGAGAGAGGCUUUCGAUGAAGCCGGGGCGUGAGCCAUCCGGUGGAGAGAUCACUAGU
RNAcentral lists this ribosomal RNA (1511 nucleotides) under Roseovarius sp. HI0049. Its description in RNAcentral is "bacterial LSU rRNA". It matches the Rfam family "Bacterial large subunit ribosomal RNA", at positions 441 to 1289 of the family's 2925-position model. The record is from RNAcentral. Lineage: Bacteria; Pseudomonadati; Pseudomonadota; Alphaproteobacteria; Rhodobacterales; Roseobacteraceae.